GACAGAGGCCCCAAGCGUUAGGCGGAAUCACUGGGCUUAAAGCGUGUGUAGGCGGAUCGUUAAGUGUCUUGUGAAAUCCCACGGCUCACCCGUGGAACUGCUGGGCAUACUGGCGAUCUUGGGCCAACUAGGGGCAGUCGGAACAAGCGGUGGAGCGGUGAAAUGCGUAGAUAUCGCUUGGAGCGCCGAAGGUGAAAACAGACUGCUGGGGUUGCGCCGACGCUGAGACACGAAAGCCAGGGGAGCAAACGGG
Molecule: ribosomal RNA, 253 nt
Filed under: uncultured bacterium
Lineage: Bacteria
Description: partial 16S ribosomal RNA
Rfam family: Bacterial small subunit ribosomal RNA
Source: RNAcentral